GAGGGUAUAGCUCAGUGGUAGAGCACAUACCUGGUGUGCACAAGGUCCUGGGUUCAAUCCCCAGUGCCUCUG
Molecule: transfer RNA, 72 nt
Filed under: Camelus bactrianus (Bactrian camel)
Lineage: Eukaryota; Metazoa; Chordata; Mammalia; Artiodactyla; Camelidae
Also listed under: 1 other name
Rfam family: tRNA
About the family: Transfer RNA (tRNA) molecules are approximately 80 nucleotides in length. Their secondary structure includes four short double-helical elements and three loops (D, anti-codon, and T loops). Further hydrogen bonds mediate the characteristic L-shaped molecular structure. tRNAs have two regions of fundamental functional importance: the anti-codon, which is responsible for specific mRNA codon recognition, and the 3' end, to which the tRNAs corresponding amino acid is attached (by aminoacyl-tRNA synthetases). tRNAs cope with the degeneracy of the genetic code in two manners: having more than one tRNA (with a specific anti-codon) for a particular amino acid; and 'wobble' base-pairing, i.e. permitting non-standard base-pairing at the 3rd anti-codon position.
Source: Rfam by way of RNAcentral